Molecule: ribosomal RNA, 264 nt
Filed under: uncultured bacterium
Lineage: Bacteria
Description: partial 16S ribosomal RNA
Rfam family: Bacterial small subunit ribosomal RNA
Source: RNAcentral
GUCCACGCCGUAAACGAUGAAUGCUAGGUGUUAGGGGUUUCGAUACCCUUGGUGCCGAAGUUAACACAUUAAGCAUUCCGCCUGGGGAGUACGGUCGCAAGACUGAAACUCAAAGGAAUUGACGGGGACCCGCACAAGCAGUGGAGUAUGUGGUUUAAUUCGAAGCAACGCGAAGAACCUUACCAAGUCUUGACAUCCCUUUGACCAGACUAGAGAUAGUCUUUUCCUUCGGGACAAAGGAGACAGGUGGUGCAUGGUUGUCGU